RNAcentral lists this microRNA precursor (142 nucleotides) under Populus trichocarpa (black cottonwood). RNAcentral describes it as "MIR480 microRNA precursor family". It matches the Rfam family "MIR480 microRNA precursor family". The record is from Rfam by way of RNAcentral. Lineage: Eukaryota; Viridiplantae; Streptophyta; Magnoliopsida; Malpighiales; Salicaceae.
UAAUCUGUUUAUUACAGCUCCGCAUCUAGUUGUGAGAUAUCUCUAUUUAACUGCUCAAAACUUUCAGUUUCGACUCACUCGACUACAUCACACUGAUAUUACAAAAAAAAAAUUAAUCUCAAUAAUUUUUUUUAUUUAGUUU